GAUGAACGCUGACAGAAUGCUUAACACAUGCAAGUCAACUUGAAUUUGGGUUUUUAACUUAGGUUUGGGUGGCGGACGGGUGAGUAACGCGUAAAGAACUUGCCUCACAGAUAGGGACAACAUUUGGAAACGAAUGCUAAUACCUGAUAUUAUGAUUUUAGGGCAUCCUAGAAUUAUGAAAGCUAUAUGCGCUGUGAGAGAGCUUUGCGUCCCAUUAGCUAGUUGGAGAGGUAACGGCUCACCAAGGCGAUGAUGGGUAGCCGGCCUGAGAGGGUGAUCGGCCACAAGGGGACUGAGACACGGCCCUUACUCCUACGGGAGGCAGCAGUGGGGAAUAUUGGACAAUGGACCGAGAGUCUGAUCCAGCAAUUCUGUGUGCACGAUGAAGUUUUUCGGAAUGUAAAGUGCUUUCAGUUGGGAAGAAAUAAAUGACGGUACCAACAGAAGAAGUGACGGCUAAAUACGUGCCAGCAGCCGCGGUAAUACGUAUGUCACGAGCGUUAUCCGGAUUUAUUGGGCGUAAAGCGCGUCUAGGUGGUUAUGUAAGUCUGAUGUGAAAAUGCAGGGCUCAACUCUGUAUUGCGUUGGAAACUGUAUAACUAGAGUACUGGAGAGGUAAGCGGAACUACAAGUGUAGAGGUGAAAUUCGUAGAUAUUUGUAGGAAUGCCGAUGGGGAAGCCAGCUUACUGGACAGAUACUGACGCUAAAGCGCGAAAGCGUGGGUAGCAAACAGG
Molecule: ribosomal RNA, 735 nt
Filed under: uncultured Fusobacterium sp.
Lineage: Bacteria; Fusobacteriati; Fusobacteriota; Fusobacteriia; Fusobacteriales; Fusobacteriaceae
Description: bacterial SSU rRNA
Rfam family: Bacterial small subunit ribosomal RNA
Source: RNAcentral